AUCGGAAGAGAGCAACAGGGAUUACCUCAGUAACGGCGAGUGAAGCGGUAACAGCUCAAAUUUGAAAUCUGGCCUCACGGUCCGAGUUGUAAUUUGUAGAGGAUGCUUCGAGCAUGGUCUGGCCUAAGUUCCUUGGAACAGGACGUCAUAGAGGGUGAGAAUCCCGUAUGCGGCCAGGUGCCUACGCUCAUGUGAAGCUCCUUCGACGAGUCGAGUUGUUUGGGAAUGCAGCUCAAAAUGGGUGGUAAAUUUCAUCUAAAGCUAAAUAUUGGCCAGAGACCGAUAGCGCACAAGUAGAGUGAUCGAAAGAUGAAAAGCACUUUGGAAAGAGAGUUAAACAGUACGUGAAAUUGUUGAAAGGGAAGCGCUUGCAACCAGACUUGCGCGCGGCCGAUCAUCCGGUGUUCUCACCGGUGCACUCGGCCGUGCUCAGGCCAGCAUCGGUUUUGGCGGCUGGAUAAAGGCCCUAGGAAUGUGGCUCCUCUCGGGGAGUGUUAUAGCCUAGGGUGCAAUGCAGCCUGCUGGGACCGAGGACCGCGCUUCGGCUAGGAUGCUGGCGUAAUGGUUGUAAGCGGCCCGUCUUGAAACACGGACCAAGGAGUCUAACAUCUAUGCGAGUGUUUGGGUGUCAAACCCAUACGCGUAAUGAAAGUGAACGGAGGUGAGAACCCUUAAGGGUGCAUCAUCGACCGAUCCUGAUGUCUUCGGAAGGAUUUGAGUAAGAGCAUAGCUGUUGGGACCCGAAAGAUGGUGAACUAUGCCUGAAUAGGGUGAAGCCAGAGGAAACUCUGGUGGAGGCUCGCAGCGGUUCUGACGUGCAAAUCGAUCGUCAAAUUUGGGUAUAGGGGCGAAAGACUAAUCGAACCAUCAGAUUGCCG
Molecule: ribosomal RNA, 878 nt
Filed under: Pseudogymnoascus sp.
Lineage: Eukaryota; Fungi; Ascomycota; Leotiomycetes; Thelebolales; Thelebolaceae
Description: partial large subunit ribosomal RNA
Rfam family: Eukaryotic large subunit ribosomal RNA
Source: RNAcentral